This 656-nucleotide ribosomal RNA is filed under the name uncultured bacterium. Its description in RNAcentral is "bacterial SSU rRNA". It matches the Rfam family "Bacterial small subunit ribosomal RNA", at positions 845 to 1502 of the family's 1533-position model. The record is from RNAcentral.
GCCGAAGCUAACGCAUUAAGCACUCGGCUUGGGGAGUACGGUAGCAAGACUGAAACUCAAAGGAAUUGACGGGGGCCUGCACAAGCAGUGGAGCAUGUGGUUUAAUUCGAAGCAACGCGAAGAACCUUACCAAGACUUGACAUCUCGCUGACCACUCUAGAGAUAGAGUUUCCCUUCGGGGUAGCGGUGACAGGUGGUGCAUGGUUGUCGUCAGCUCGUGUCGUGAGAUGUUGGGUUAAGUCCCGCAACGAGCGCAACCCCUAUGUUGUGUUGCCAUCAUUUAGUUGGGCACUUACAACAGACUGCCGGUGACAAACCGGAGGAAGGCGGGGAUGACGUCAAAUCAUCAUGCCCAUUAUGUCUUGGGCUACACACGUGCUACAAUGGGCGGUACAAAGAGACGCGAGACCGCGAGGUGGAGCCAAUCUCAUAAAGCCGUUCGUAGUUCGGAUUGCAGGCUGCAACUCGCCUGCAUGAAGCCGGAAUUGCUAGUAAUCGCGGAUCAGCAUGCCGCGGUGAAUUCGUUCCCGGGCCUUGUACACACCGCCCGUCACACCACGGGAGUUGGCAACACCCAAAGUCGGUGAGGUAACCCUCGGGAGCCAGCCGCCUAAGGUGGGGUCGAUGACUGGGGUGAAGUCGUAACAAGGUAGCCG